UGCUGUCCAAUACAUUAAAUCUUGAAUAUAGAUAUAGGAAGAUGUGGUAUGAGUACCAAUGAGACAACUCUCCAUCCAAGUAACAAUUUGUAAAAAUAAACCAUUAUAGAUCAAGGUACAGCCUUCAACAUGAAGCCUUGGCUCACACGGAACAGCAAGCUAUAAAAAUUACUAGUGUAAAACCAUUCAAACAGGAAAAACAACAGUCUAAUCUAUAUAAAAAAAAAAUAUGCAUGAAAUAUUUGCAACAGUUCAAACUGCCCAAAAUUGGAAUUGCUUCAGGGCGGAAAAGAAAGAUUCAAUUAGACAGGGGUGACCUUAUUCACACAAACUACAGGGUAACAGUCAUACAUUGCUACUUGAAAGGUGCUUAUACAAGUGUUCACUGUAUACAGGUUUUCCUCUUAUCAAGGAUUUUAUGUAGACAACUUUCACUGUACACAGGUUUUACCCUUAUGUACACAUUAGUUUCACUGUACACCCGUUUUAUUCCUAUGUAGACAAGUUUCACUGUACACAGGUUUUACUCUUAUGUAGACAAGUUUCACUGUAUAUACUGAAUGUUUCUAGUCAGGUUUCUACAGUAUUUCAAUAAGUGUUUUGACAUAUACCCCAACAUCGCAUAAUAUUUAUGUUAAGUUUGUCUUUUUUUUGUAUAAGCCAAUUUCAUAAUGUAAAAAUUGUUGAAUUUAAAAAAGUGAAUCACUUGUGCAAAUAAUCUCAUAUUGUAUAUAAGCCCAUAACAACGUUAUAAAUUCCAUAACUGUAAAAAAAAAAUUGAAUUUUAAAAAAAUUGAAUCACUUGUGCAAAUAAUCGGUGAGCUGUAACGGAAAUUUGAUAAGGUGCAAGUCAUAAUUUAUUACCUGCGAAACCACAUAUUUGUCUUGAAAUUAUUUUGAGUAAAUAUUACAUACAUUUCAAUUAAACAUAAACAAAAACUAAUGUUAUAUAAAUAAAAACCUCACACACAUUACAUUCAUACGAUGUAACCUUAGGGUAACUUACGAAAUUUAAAACCAAAUCUUAAUUCUACCCCUUUAAAUCUACCCAGGUAGAAAAUUAAGAUAAAAAAAGAGAAUAUUAUGAUUUAAUUGUGUUAUUGGAUGUUUACAACCCCUC
Molecule: long non-coding RNA, 1120 nt
Filed under: Mytilus galloprovincialis (Mediterranean mussel)
Lineage: Eukaryota; Metazoa; Mollusca; Bivalvia; Mytilida; Mytilidae
Source: RNAcentral